This 395-nucleotide ribosomal RNA is filed under the name uncultured bacterium. Its description in RNAcentral is "bacterial SSU rRNA". It matches the Rfam family "Bacterial small subunit ribosomal RNA", at positions 505 to 898 of the family's 1533-position model. The record is from RNAcentral.
GUGCCAGCAGCCGCGGUAAUACGGAGGGUGCAAACGUUGCUCGGAAUCAUUGGGCGUAAAGCGCACGUAGGCGGCGAAGCAAGUUGGGUGUGAAAGCCCUGGGCUCAACCCAGGAAGUGCAUUCAAAACUGCUUCGCUUGAAUCUCGGAGGGGGUCAGAGAAUUCCCGGUGUAGAGGUGAAAUUCGUAGAUAUCGGGAGGAAUACCAGUGGCGAAGGCGCUGACCUGGACGAAGAUUGACGCUGAGGUGCGAAAGCGCGGGGAGCAAACAGGAUUAGAUACCCUGGUAGUCCGCGCUGUAAACGAUGAGUGCUAGACGGUGGAGGUAUUGACCCCUUCGCUGCCGAAGCUAACGCGUUAAGCACUCCGCCUGGGGAGUACGGUCGCAAGACUAAA